UACGAAGGGGGCUAGCGUUGCUCGGAAUUACUGGGCGUAAAGCGCACGUAGGCGGCUUCUUAAGUCGGUGGUGAAAUCCUGGAGCUCAACUCCAGAACUGCCUUCGAUACUGGGAAGCUCGAGUCCGGGAGAGGUGAGUGGAACUGCGAGUGUAGAGGUGAAAUGCGCAGAUAUCAGGAAGAACACCCGUGGCGAAGGCGGCUUUCUGGGACGGUACUGACGCUGAGACGCGAAAGCGUGGGGAGCGAACAGG
RNAcentral lists this ribosomal RNA (253 nucleotides) under uncultured bacterium. RNAcentral describes it as "partial 16S ribosomal RNA". It matches the Rfam family "Bacterial small subunit ribosomal RNA", at positions 524 to 776 of the family's 1533-position model. The record is from RNAcentral.